Molecule: ribosomal RNA, 646 nt
Filed under: Elsinoe coryli
Lineage: Eukaryota; Fungi; Ascomycota; Dothideomycetes; Myriangiales; Elsinoaceae
Description: eukaryotic LSU rRNA
Rfam family: 5.8S ribosomal RNA (bases 278-431)
Source: RNAcentral
UCUUUGUCUCUUUAGAGGAAGUAUAAGUCGUAACAAGGUUUCCGUAGGUGAACCUGCGGAAGGAUCAUUAACGAGGUAGGGUUCUCCCCCGGGAAGCCCGAACUCCCCACCCUUUGCUGUUGCGAAUACGUUGCUUCGGCGGGACCCCCCCCUCUACCCUUCACCGGGGAGGGGGAGGGACCGGGCCUUCACGGGCCCGGGCAGCGCCCGCCGGGGGACCAAACCAACUCUUUUGUUAAACAAUGCAGUCGGAGUACAAUGUACAAAAUCAAAUUAAAACUUUCAACAACGGAUCUCUUGGUUCUGGCAUCGAUGAAGAACGCAGCGAAAUGCGAUAAGUAAUGUGAAUUGCAGAAUUCAGUGAAUCAUCGAAUCUUUGAACGCACAUUGCGCCCCUUGGUAUUCCGAGGGGCAUGCCUGUUCGAGCGUCAUUUCACCAAUCAAGCCCCGCUUGGUAUUAGGCGACCCGGCCGGCCCCCCGUGGCCGGCCCGCCCGAAAUGCAUCGGCGAGGCACCGACCCCCGGCGUGUUAGAAUUUCUUUAACGUCGAGAGCACCGGUGUACCUCCGCCGUGAAACCUUCCAAUGUAAUUUUCUAAGGUUGACCUCGGAUCAGGUAGGAAUACCCGCUGAACUUAAGCAUAUCA